AACACAAAUCAUCAAUGGGUAACCCUGAUGACCCACACCCAACCCCGGAUGAGGCGUACGAAAAACUCUAGGAGCCUCUAUCCUACAACCCUGAUUCUAGACCUCCAGACUCUCCUAUCAAGGGUCAUGUCAUCGGAAACCUGCAUUCUAGUCAUGUCCUGCCUAAUCACCUCUCCCCAAUGCUUCUUAGGCCUCCCUCUGCCUCGCCGACCGCCAACAAUCUCCAGCCGCNNN
RNAcentral lists this long non-coding RNA (234 nucleotides) under Nicotiana benthamiana. Its description in RNAcentral is "long non-coding RNA (NBEN_LNC007833)". The record is from RNAcentral. Lineage: Eukaryota; Viridiplantae; Streptophyta; Magnoliopsida; Solanales; Solanaceae.